GCCCUCUUGGCGUAACUGGCAGCGCGCACGGUUGAAGCCCGUGGGGACCCUGUUCGAGUCAGGGGGAGGGCG
Molecule: transfer RNA, 72 nt
Filed under: Longispora fulva
Lineage: Bacteria; Bacillati; Actinomycetota; Actinomycetes; Micromonosporales; Micromonosporaceae
Rfam family: tRNA
About the family: Transfer RNA (tRNA) molecules are approximately 80 nucleotides in length. Their secondary structure includes four short double-helical elements and three loops (D, anti-codon, and T loops).
Source: Rfam by way of RNAcentral